AGUGAACGCUGGCGGUAGGCCUAACACAUGCAAGUCGAACGGCAGCACAGUAAGAGCUUGCUCUUACGGGUGGCGAGUGGCGGACGGGUGAGGAAUACAUCGGAAUCUACUUUUUCGUGGGGGAUAACGUAGGGAAACUUACGCUAAUACCGCAUACGACCUACGGGUGAAAGCAGGGGAUCUUCGGACCUUGCGCGAUUGAAUGAGCCGAUGUCGGAUUAGCUAGUUGGUGGGGUAAAGGCCCACCAAGGCGACGAUCCGUAGCUGGUCUGAGAGGAUGAUCAGCCACACUGGAACUUAGACACGGUCCAGACUCCUACGGGAGGCAGCAGUGGGGAAUAUUGGACAAUGGGCGCAAGCCUGAUCCAGCCAUACCGCGUGGGUGAAGAAGGCCUUCGGGUUGUAAAGCCCUUUUGUUGGGAAAGAAAAGCAGCAGGUUAAUACCCCGCUGUUCUGACGGUACCCAAAGAAUAAGCACCGGCUAACUUCGUG
RNAcentral lists this ribosomal RNA (492 nucleotides) under uncultured bacterium. RNAcentral describes it as "partial 16S ribosomal RNA". It matches the Rfam family "Bacterial small subunit ribosomal RNA", at positions 29 to 507 of the family's 1533-position model. The record is from RNAcentral.